AAUGAUGAAAAUCAUCACAGCUCUGAUGACAUCACAGAGCUGUGAUGUCAUCACAGAGCUGUGAUGUCAUCACAGAGCUGUGAUGAUGUCAUCAGAGCU
This is a non-coding RNA of Xyrichtys novacula (pearly razorfish), 99 nucleotides long. NCBI's taxonomy places the organism in Eukaryota, Metazoa, Chordata, Actinopteri, Labriformes, Labridae. The record is from the annotation of a GenBank genome assembly.